RNAcentral lists this ribosomal RNA (434 nucleotides) under uncultured bacterium. RNAcentral describes it as "bacterial SSU rRNA". It matches the Rfam family "Bacterial small subunit ribosomal RNA", at positions 28 to 445 of the family's 1533-position model. The record is from RNAcentral.
GACGAACGCUGGCGGCACGCUUAACACAUGCAAGUCGAACGGAGUUUUUUAACGGAAGUCUUCGGACGGAAGGUAAAAGACUUAGUGGCGGACGGGUGAGUAACACGUGAGUAAUCUGCCUUACAGAGGGGGAUAACGUUCUGAAAAGAACGCUAAUACCGCAUAAGCCAACGAAAUCGCAUGGUUUAGUUGGAAAAGGAGCAAUCCGCUGUAAGAUGAGCUCGCGUCCGAUUAGCUAGUUGGCGGGGUAACAGCCCACCAAGGCGACGAUCGGUAGCCGGACUGAGAGGUUGGACGGCCACAUUGGGACUGAGACACGGCCCAGACUCCUACGGGAGGCAGCAGUGGGGAUAUUGCACAAUGGGCGAAAGCCUGACCCAGCAACGCCGCGUGAAGGAAGAAGGCCUCGGUUGUAACGUUACAGUCAACAGGAA